RNAcentral lists this ribosomal RNA (401 nucleotides) under uncultured bacterium. Its description in RNAcentral is "partial 16S ribosomal RNA". It matches the Rfam family "Bacterial small subunit ribosomal RNA", at positions 360 to 773 of the family's 1533-position model. The record is from RNAcentral.
AAUAUUGGACAAUGGGGGCAACCCUGAUCCAGCCAUCCCGCGUGUGCGAUGAAGGCCUUCGGGUUGUAAACCUCUUUCAGCAGGGAAGAAGCGAAAGUGACGGUACCUGCAGCAGAAGCGCCGGCUAACUACGUGCCAGCAGCCGCGGUAAGACGUAGGGCGCAAGCGUUGUCCGGAAUUAUUGGGCGUAAAGAGCUCGUAGGCGGUUUGUCGCGUCUGCUGUGAAAACGCGAGGCUCAACCUCGCGCCUGCAGUGGGUACGGGCAGACUAGAGCGCGGUAGGGGAGACUGGAAUUCCUGGUGUAGCGGUGGAAUGCGCAGAUAUCAGGAGGAACACCGAUGGCGAAGGCAGGUCUCUGGGCCGCAACUGACGCUGAGGAGCGAAAGCAUGGGGAGCGAAC